GUGAAAAAUUCCUUUCCCCCAACCUCUUGGCUCAGAACUUAGAUCGAGGACAGAUCGGCUGAACCUUUGAAGCUACACGAUGGGUGUACUGCUGAAGGGUUUCACAUUUGCAGUGAAUGCAGAUUCAAAAACAAACUGGGUUUGUUUGGAAUAAGUAGACAAAGCACUACAGUGGGUAAUCAACAUGAGCAGUGACAGCCACCAUGACUGAGGAGACAAAGAAAAGCGCACCGCCUACAGAAACCCAAACUUCAUCAACAGAAACCUGCUCUGCUGAUUGGUUGCAGCGACCCUGCAUGACAUGUGUGGACUGUGGAUUGAUGAUGCAUGGUGCAGCCACCAAAAUUCAAAUGAAAUCAGCUAUCGCAUGUGUGGAGAUCACAUCUGUGCUGUCUGAGGUGCUAAAUGAUGAUCAAGCUGUGAAAAAGAACAAGAGCUGAAGGCACAUCGGACAGUUUAAUUAUAUCAACUUAAUUAUAAGGAAUUUUCAGAGUAUAAUUAGCGUGAAAUAUUACGUUAGCCCUCUCCCUCAGACCUUUAUUAUCUUGAAUCUCAGGAAAUUAAUGUGUGUGUCUGUGAAAACUGGGUCAGUUUGGCUAUGUUUCCAAGGUAACAGGGGUCAUAGUUACUUACUUCAUCAAUAUCCAUUUUGGCAGGCCUCCCAGAAUAUAUCAGCUUGUGUAUGUCAGAUUUCAUGGACCCAAAAUGUUUUCGACUUUCACCAAAGACAUCAUUUUAGCCAUUAAGUGUAUGAGGCACAGAAGAGCAAUUUAAAGCUGGAAGCUUCAUUUAAAGUGUGCCACAUGUGCAGCUUUUCCUUCCAUUAAGUCUACUUCCUGAUAAAUGGACUGAUAUGACUGUAAUAUAAGCAGAUUUCAUUCAUGAGGUAUUUGAGCAGCAUAGCUCUGUAUAAGAAUAGAUGAAUUUGUUUACCAUCUGCUCUUCAACUAUUUAUAGCUGUGCAGCAUAGGCAAAGUGGAUGUUGAACAGCACAAAUCAGGAUAUAUCUCAGCUCUGAUUGUUGUUUAUCUCGGUGCAAAGAGGCUGUA
Long non-coding RNA from Micropterus dolomieu (smallmouth bass), 1049 nucleotides. RefSeq lists it as uncharacterized. The transcript is spliced from 4 exons. The record is from RefSeq and is a predicted model, not a curated record. NCBI's taxonomy places the organism in Eukaryota, Metazoa, Chordata, Actinopteri, Centrarchiformes, Centrarchidae.